GGGCCCCUCGUCUCACUCUGGAUGCAAUGUGCCCCUCGUACGGGCGCUAGUCUCGGUCCUCUCGGGCCUUGACAAAACCUUUGUAAUCCAACAUCAUGCCUAUUGCCAACACAAGAGAUUAUUACAACCAGUAGCGUUGGAUCCCUUGGCACGUCGUUCGAUGAAGACCGUUGCAAAAUGCGAUAAGUGGUGUGAUAUGCAAGUCCAAAACUUAUACGUGAACCAUCGAAUUGUUGAACGCACUGCAUCGAGCCUUACCCAGGAACGAUACGCCCCAUUGAGCGUCAUUAUGUCUUCGCGACAUCUGGUCUUUCUGACUCGAUGUCCGGGUUCGGGAUUCACGGCCGGUCUUUGGUCGCGCUUCCUUAGAUGAAUUGGCUGUGCCGGAGCAAGCGGUGACCUUGUCAUGAAUGUCGAGGUGUGCCGUGUUUUGGUCCGAGCGCAAGAUCCUCCUCUCUGCCGGGUGGGAUCAGAACGCGCGGCCUAGUGUCGUUGCGACUUCUACACAUGACCUCACGGGGGUGGGACGACCCGCUAGACUUAAGCAUAUUAAUCAGCGGAGGAAAAGAAACUAACAAGGAUUCCCCUAGUAACUGCGAGUGAAGAGGGAUUA
This 613-nucleotide ribosomal RNA is filed under the name uncultured Tulasnellaceae. Its description in RNAcentral is "eukaryotic LSU rRNA". The stretch from base 126 to 287 matches the Rfam family "5.8S ribosomal RNA". Lineage: Eukaryota; Fungi; Basidiomycota; Agaricomycetes; Cantharellales; Tulasnellaceae. The record is from RNAcentral.